UGGGAGGGGGGCCAUGCAGAGAAAUUCAUGACUUGUUUAAUUAGAAGUCGGCUCCCCACAUGGAGGAGCCUCUGGUCUGUUGGGGGUGUAAUGCGCAUACAGCGUUUGCAAAAUCCUGAGGUUAAAGAAUUGAAUUCCAAUCAAUUUUGGAUGCACAUCAGCUAAGCAGGCAUUUAAGAGAGCGCUAAUCUUCAGGUGUGAGACAUUCUCCUGGCUGGGUCUUUUGAAGGCCACAAGUGAGCAUCCCACUCAGAAUGACCAGCAAGAACAAAUCAUCACUCUCCUUUGGAUCACCUGAUGGAUCCCUUUAGUUCCUUCCUAUAUAUUAGAACCCCUUACCCCAUUCCUCUUAGGAACGAAUGGUGGAGCAGAAGGCCUCCAUAGAUCCUUCAUCGGUAAAGAGCAACAGUGGCGGAAGUUCCUCCAUUCUUCCAUGCAAAGAAGUGGUUGUGGGAACAUCUACAGCAGGGUCUUCGGUGUUGAUAUUUGUUGCUCCUGAUCUUAAAAUUGGUGCCUGAUGUCAGGAGGACUUCACCCCAUCUAAGGUUGUUCCUAACAUCAACAAUGUAGGAAAAGAGUCAAACUUUGAGAAGAUAUGAUGGUGAGAAGUAGAGAAUGGGAAGAAGAACUGGUCUUGGGGAAGAGGUGCCUUUGGGUACAUCCCUCCCCUAGAUAUUCAUUUCAGUUUUGUAUGGAGCCAUGGAUCAGAAGAAUUAAGUGCAGGGGGGACAUUAUUCCCCACUGUCUCAAGUGUGCCCCUGCAGCAACUGAAAAGUAGAGAAACAUGGUGCCUACCCUUGGAAAAAUGCCACUUUUCAUUAAAAUUGCUCUCUUGUUGUGUUUACAUUGAAA
Molecule: long non-coding RNA, 852 nt
Organism: Crotalus tigris (Tiger rattlesnake)
Lineage: Eukaryota; Metazoa; Chordata; Lepidosauria; Squamata; Viperidae
Exons: 2
Source: RefSeq, a predicted model, not a curated record